AAAAAAUUGUAAUAAAUAUUAAAUUUAAUAAUAAUAAAAUAAAUUUAAUUAUGGUUUUAGAAUUAAUUUAAAAAUUUUUAUAUAUAUAAUUUAAAGAGAUAAUUUAAAUUAAAUAUUUAAAUUAAUAAUUUAGUAUAUAGAAUUAAAAAAUUUAAAAAAUUAAAUAUUAGAAAUUUUUUUUAAUUUAGAUAAAUAAUUGUGCCAGCAAUCGUGGUUAAACAAUUUAAGUGAAUUAAUUAAAUUAAAUUUAAAUAAAUAAAUAAUAAAUUAAAUAUUAAAAAUUAGAUUUAUUAGGUGAAAUUAAUUAAAUUUAAAAAUAAAUAUUUUAAAAAAAAAUAUUAGAAUUUUAGAAAAUUUUUUUAAAACUAGGAUUAGAUACCCUAUUAUAUAAUUUAAAAGAAAAGGUUUGAGUAUUAAAUGAUUAAUCAUUAAAUUUAAAUAAUUUGGCGGUAUUUUAAUUUUAUUAGAGGAACUUGUUUAAUAAUUGAUAAUCCACGAAAGGAGAUACUUUAAUUAAAAUUUUUAUAUUGUUGUUUAAAGAAUAUUUUUAAAAAAUAAAUAUUUAAAAUAUUUAAGGAAAAAUAAUAAUUCAGAUCAAAAUGAAGUGAAUAUUAAAGAAAAUUAAUGAGUUACAAUAAAUUUAAUUUAUAAUGAAUUUUUAAUUUUAAAAAUUUUAAUGAAGGUGGAUUUAAAAGUAAAAUAAAAUAAUUAUUUUAUUUGAUUAAAAUUAUAAAAUAUGUACAAAUUGCCCGUCGUUCCCUUUGAAAGAAGGGGUAAGUCGUAACAAAGUAAAAGUACUGGAAAGUGUUUUUAGAGGAAA
RNAcentral lists this non-coding RNA (820 nucleotides) under Chrysis bicolor. The record is from RNAcentral. Lineage: Eukaryota; Metazoa; Arthropoda; Insecta; Hymenoptera; Chrysididae.